RNAcentral lists this long non-coding RNA (916 nucleotides) under Volvox carteri. RNAcentral describes it as "long non-coding RNA (VCAR_LNC004068)". Lineage: Eukaryota; Viridiplantae; Chlorophyta; Chlorophyceae; Chlamydomonadales; Volvocaceae. The record is from RNAcentral.
UCAUUUUAUGGAGACGGCUUCAUUUUGGACUGAAAGGGGCCUUCAUAUCACGUGAUAUACAACUUUCAUUUUAUGGAGACGCCUUCUUUUUGGACUGAAAGGGGCCUUCAUAUCACGUGAUAUACAACUUUCAUUUUAUUGAGACGGCUUCUUUUUGGACUGAAAGGGGCCUUCAUAUCACGUGAUGGACAUGGGCUCGUUUUAUGGAGACCACCUUCAUUUUGGACAGAAGGGGUAUUCAAAGCGUAAGGGACGUUCAUUCUGAGCUACCUUCAUUAUGUAAUGAAGUGGUCCUCAUUCUAAAUUGAAUCAUGGCCCUCGAUUUGGUGUGGAAUGAAGGGUACCUUCAUGAAGGUAUGAAGGGUCUUCAUUAAGGUAUGAAAUGAGUGUGAAUCGCAUAUAGAAUGAAGGCUCCAGGUUCCCAGAGUGUAGCUAUGAAGGACAUAUGAAGUGGGUAGCACUAAGAUGGUAUUAAGAAGAUACUAAGUGGUGGCGUUCCACGAGUGUAGAUAAUAUAUGCACCACACAAUUAAUAUCCAAGCAUUUCGUAGAUCACCGGUGGGCAGUGCACGAAAACCCCUGCUACAGCUGUGAGCUCAGUCAACGAGCACUGUACAGAACAGUAUACAUAGAUAUAUAGUUCAGCAGGUAGAGGCCAGAGCUCUGGCCCUCGAGGGAAGCAAAACAUGUCAUCAGGUCAUGACCUGUUCCCCAGUUUCCAUGCACUGAUGAUCAUCAGUGCACGGAAACCCCAAUGAGACCAAUAAUAACAAGCACUAUAACCGAGGUAAAGAUAGCCCAGCAAAUAGAGGCUGGCAGGGGGCCCCGGGGGCACCGGGAAAGGUGUACCAUGGACCCCACAAGCCAACCUCAGUCCUCAUGACUGAUCAGUCCAACAGGGGGAACACCAUAAAAG